Malaya genurostris is the source of this 957-nucleotide long non-coding RNA. RefSeq lists it as uncharacterized. NCBI's taxonomy places the organism in Eukaryota, Metazoa, Arthropoda, Insecta, Diptera, Culicidae. The transcript is spliced from 3 exons. The record is from RefSeq and is a predicted model, not a curated record.
AAUAUCAUAAGUCAAUGAUUAUGAUUGUGUCAAUUUUCAAUUUUUGACAAUUUCAUUGCUGUCGUAUGGGAUUUAUUAUAAUGAAAUAGAUUCCAUUUAACAGCUUUAUGAUCUGUAUACGAUACACGUGUACAUUUCAUACGUCAGCGCAAUGAAAUUCAAAGUUGCAUCUUGUGUGAAAAAAAAACAUAGUUGGCGCGUAUGAUACUCGAUCAAAUAUAGUGCAAACAUGGCUUCCGCUGAUGGUUCACUUUAGGAUCUUCCGAUUUCGGCUAGUGCGUUGCAAGUAUUCACAGAGUGCGGAGUGGAUAUAACCGCUUUAAAUUGUUGGACGGAACGGAAAUUAUUGAUGCUAUUUCUUCUGCCCAAGUAAAUUGGAAUACCAGUUUAAUUUGGGAAUGGAUUUCAAAUUGGCGGUGCCGUAAUAAUCUCAAUGGAGCGAUUAUUGAGUGAAAAUGAGAGUCUUCAAUUAUUAUUAUUACGUCACGUAACGUAUUCGUUGUGUAUAAAAUCGUGCUUACAGUUUGCGUAUCAUGCACACAAUAAAUCGUUCACUGAGUCUUAUGUUGAAGGAAUUUUCAAAAAUCAAGCAAUUAAGCUUAAACCAUACUGGAAUAACAUUGAAACAUGGCUUUUUUGUAACAAAGAUACCGUUAGUUUGGCAUCUUCUUGUAGAUUUAAGGGCAUUUCAUACAAAACUUGCUAUUUUUUAUAAGAACAGACAGUAAUAUUGUUAAUCUUUUUGAGGCUGAGGAAUACUUAAUGGACAACCGUGAUGUUUAUGCCAUAUGUAGGCAAUGGAUUUGUGGGAACCAUGAUUCCCAUUAUGUAACUUUAGAGGUAAUAGAACGUACAAAUCAUUUUAUACUUAUCAAAUUAGAUUCCAUUGAUGAUCCACCUUUCACUGUACACUUUUUAGGUAAUAAGCAUUUAUUUAGAUAUAAAAAGGUAUUUAUU